CUCUUAGUCUACUGGGAAGAACUAGUCUUGCAUGAGGAUCUCAGCUCCUACCUGAGCCUCUUGCUUUCCUCUUGGUGAACUCUGAGGGGAGAGAACCAGUGCUAGUGUUCAGAAACUGUUGGUCAGGCGUUUAGCAACCUGCUGAACUGAACUGGAAUUUGUGACUAGAGAAGCAGUACAUUAAACACUAUAUUUCCAUUCUCACAAAUGCUGCAUUCUUCAGUUCUGCCACCUCAUUCAACACGAUAUAUUAGGUCUUACCAACCUAGAAAAUAAUAUCAGAUUGGAACAGAGGUUGUUUAACUUUUGACUUGCUUGAUCUACUGUUGAUGAGUCUCUAUAAACUGCCAACCUGAACAUGGAGCAAAAGAUGGAUAGAUUGAAUCAAUAACAGAGCUGAAAGAAAGUCUUUUCAUGCAAAAAAAAAAAGAAAGAAGGAAAGAAGGAAGGAAAGAAAGAAAGAAAAAGCCCAUUCGUGUAUACAGUUUUUUUUUAAAGUUCAGGAAAAUAUGUUAGAAAAAGAACUCAUUUUAUUGUUUCUAGUGUUAAAUGAGUGUCAGAAAUCCUUUUUGAUCUGCUACAAAUUACCUCCAGAACAAUCACUAGAUCUUGAUUAACGUGACAGAAUAAUUGGGAUUUGCUUACACACAAGUUUCCAAUAGCAAUUUAUUGCUAAUAGUUCCCUUAAUCUUAUGGAAGAGGCUGACCUGUUUCCAUUCUAUCAUCUUAAUUGAGGCUUAAUGUGGUACCACAGCCUAUUUGAAAUACAGCUGACCUAAGCCAGCCAUUGCAGGAAGAAUUACUGCACCAAGAUAGUCAGAUAUUGCUGCAUACAAGCAGCAUCCUGGUUCUUUCCUGUGCAUACAAGCAGUAUCCUGUAUCCUGGGUCAAUUGAGGGUCUUUUACAAUGCCAUGCAUUUGCAUGCGGUAGUCCUGCCUAAUCCCUUGUCUUCUGAUUUAUUGUUAUUGAACAGGGCUAUCCUUAGGGACUUCUGCCCAGCUUUAUAAACUAUUGUCCAGUAUCCUGUGUACUCUAAUACAAAUUGACACUUAUUUUCUCUUAUGGAUGCAAAAUUGUAUUCCUCCAUGCAGUGCGGACAUGGAGGUUUUAUCCAGAUGGCCAGGAAGCACAGAUUCAAACGAUCAGUAUGGAUAUAGGGAGAAGAACAACAGAAACAAUGUGUUUGUGAUAUGAGCUUCAGCUGAUUUCGGUUUUCCUAUUAACAGGAAACAAGCACUCCAACUCCUAUUAAUAAAAAGAUCUUUCAGGCCGAGGCCUUGU
This is a long non-coding RNA of Ahaetulla prasina, 1282 nucleotides long. RefSeq lists it as uncharacterized. The record is from RefSeq and is a predicted model, not a curated record. The transcript is spliced from 4 exons. NCBI's taxonomy places the organism in Eukaryota, Metazoa, Chordata, Lepidosauria, Squamata, Colubridae.